AAAGUCCCCUUCGGGGGAUAAGUAGAGUGGCGCCCGGGUNAGUAACACGUAGGUAAUCUACCUUCGGGUGGGGAAUAACGCAGGGAAACUUGCGCUAAUACCGCAUAAUGCAGCGGCACCACAUGGUGACAGUUGUUAAAGCGGGGGAUUUUCGGACCUCGCGCCUGAAGAGGAGCCUGCGGCAGAUUAGCUAGUUGGUAAGGUAACGGCUUACCAAGGCGACGAUCUGUAGCCGGCCUGAGAGGGCGGUCGGCCACACUGACACUGACAUACGGGUCAGACUCCUACGGGAGGCAGCAGUCGGGAAUUUUGGGCAAUGGGCGAAAGCCUGACCCAGCAACGCCGCGUGAAGGAUGAAAUCCUUCGGGAUGUAAACUUCGCAAGAAUAGGAAGAAUUAGCGAGUACUAAUACUGCUCGUGAUGACGGUACUAUUUGUAAGCUCCGGCUAACUCCGUGCCAGCAGCCGCGGUAAUACGGGGGGAGCAAGCGUUGUUCGGAUUUACUGGGCGUAAAGGGCGCGUAGGCGGUCAGCACAAGUCAGUUGUGAAAUCUCCGGGCUUAACUCGGAAAGGUCAACUGAUACUGUGCGACUAGAGUGCGGAAGGGGCAACUGGAAUUCUCGGUGUAGCGGUGAAAUGCGUAGAUAUCGAGAGGAACACCUGCGGCGAAGGCGGGUUGCUGGGCCGACACUGACGCUGAUGCGCGAAAGCCAGGGGAGCGAACGGGAUUAGAUACCCCGGUAGUCCUGGCCUUAAACGAUGGAUGCUUGGUGUCUGGAGUUUUAUAGUCUCCGGGUG
This 798-nucleotide ribosomal RNA is filed under the name uncultured Bacteroidota bacterium. Its description in RNAcentral is "bacterial SSU rRNA". It matches the Rfam family "Bacterial small subunit ribosomal RNA", at positions 70 to 845 of the family's 1533-position model. The record is from RNAcentral. Lineage: Bacteria; Pseudomonadati; Bacteroidota.